This 253-nucleotide ribosomal RNA is filed under the name uncultured bacterium. RNAcentral describes it as "partial 16S ribosomal RNA". It matches the Rfam family "Bacterial small subunit ribosomal RNA", at positions 524 to 776 of the family's 1533-position model. The record is from RNAcentral.
UACGGAGGGAGCUAGCGUUGUUCGGAAUUACUGGGCGUAAAGCGCGCGUAGGCGGCUUUGUAAGUUAGAGGUGAAAGCCCGGGGCUCAACCCCGGAACUGCCUUUAAGACUGCAUCGCUUGAAUCCGGGAGAGGUGAGUGGAAUUCCGAGUGUAGAGGUGAAAUUCGUAGAUAUUCGGAAGAACACCAGUGGCGAAGGCGGCUCACUGGACCGGUAUUGACGCUGAGGAGCGAAAGCCAGGGGAGCAAACGGG